Molecule: long non-coding RNA, 233 nt
Filed under: Brassica rapa (field mustard)
Lineage: Eukaryota; Viridiplantae; Streptophyta; Magnoliopsida; Brassicales; Brassicaceae
Description: long non-coding RNA (BRAP_LNC008338)
Source: RNAcentral
UCCUCCUCAGUUUCUUCACUAGCAUAGUUUUAUGCUUGUUGAACUGAUCCGGGGCCUGUGUUGCGUACCUAUCUGGAAGGAAUUGUUAAGCUUUUGCUUAAAAUGUUGUUUGCGGCAUCUCCUUCAGUGGGGAAGUCGUGAACACAUAAGCCGGCACUUGUGAUCCUUGCAUCUUUGCAUAGUUUAUGCAUUGUUCGCAAAGGUGAAUAAGCUGUUUGCUGAGAUCUCGGUAG